Molecule: long non-coding RNA, 965 nt
Organism: Coturnix japonica (Japanese quail)
Lineage: Eukaryota; Metazoa; Chordata; Aves; Galliformes; Phasianidae
Source: RefSeq, a predicted model, not a curated record
UUGAGCAUGGUGUCUAAAGUAGCGCUGUCUCCAUGCUUCAAAAUAGUGACGUAGACCUGGGAGAGAGCACAGAGACAUCCAUCACACAUCACACCUGGAGAGAUGCAAAGCUCACUGUGGGUGAAUGGGCUCUGCAAUAAGCAGCUGCUGUGCAUUGGGCUGCAGUUCAGACAGCUUCAGCAAAAGAAACAGAGCAUGAAAUCAUUGUACCACGUGCUGACAGCUAGCAAGCACUUCGUAUACACCCAAUCCACGUCCACCAGCCUCCAAAACCAACACCAUCCAGAGACCAGAGCUGUUCCUGUGGCAGUGUAGGUAGGAACCAAACCCUCUGAUAACCUACAGGACUCCUCAGAUCAGCUGACAGGAUGUUUUUUCCUUCCACGUGGUCUUUAAACCGACGUCGGGCUUCUUCCAAGGUGGCCUUGUGCCCAGCUUUACCUAGUUUGCCCAGCACCAGACCUCUCAGAAGGGCAUCUAGAUGACCUGAUGAGUAGAAGGAGAAAACAGUGAAUGAAUGUCAUCCUUUAAUUGUUCCACCCACACUGAUAAGCACAGAGCUACCAAAUAAUCCUUCUGCAUAUGAGUGGAUAAAGAAACAACGACUUCCCAGCUCUCCUCAGUGCCACUGGAAGGAUAGUUUAGUUUUUAAAUGGUAAGAGGAUUAGGAGAAUAAAAGUCUGGACCAAACACAGCCCGCAAUCUGAGCCAGGCUGGUCAUCAUAACCUGCUGGAUUUACACUGGGACUAAUUGGGACAAGUGAAUGUGAACCUACAUGGCUUCCCACCCCGACAGACUAAGAAGUUUGGAGCACUCCAACAGAUGCAAACCUACAGCAGAGAGUUCUUAAAUCAACCACAGGGCAGGGAAACGUUUACCCUUUUAACGUGCACUUAAGAGAGUUGUUUAGAGGCUUUGUGUUUGGCUUUUUAAGCAUAAAACCACCCCCAAAAUGCCUUCCUCA